Molecule: ribosomal RNA, 245 nt
Filed under: uncultured bacterium
Lineage: Bacteria
Description: partial small subunit ribosomal RNA
Rfam family: Bacterial small subunit ribosomal RNA
Source: RNAcentral
AGAAUCAACGCUGGCGGCGUGCCUAACACAUGCAAGUCGAACGAGAAAGUGGAGCAAUCCAUGAGUAAAGUGGCGACCGGGUGAGUAACACGCGACUAACCUACCUUCGAGUGGGGGAUAACCUCGGGAAACCGAGGCUAAUACCGCAUAACAUCGCAAGAUCAAAGCAGCAAUGCGCUGGAAGAGGGGGUCGCGGCUGAUUAGCUAGUUGGCGGGGUAAUGGCCCACCAAGGCGAAGAUCGGUA